Molecule: ribosomal RNA, 559 nt
Filed under: uncultured bacterium
Lineage: Bacteria
Description: partial 16S ribosomal RNA
Rfam family: Bacterial small subunit ribosomal RNA
Source: RNAcentral
UGGGGAAUUUUGGACAAUGGGGGAAACCCUGAUCCAGCCAUCCCGCGUGUGCGAUGAAGGCCUUCGGGUUGUAAAGCACUUUUGGCAGGGAAAGAAACGUCGCGGGUUAAUACCCCGCGAAACUGACGGUACCUGCAGAAUAAGCACCGGCUAACUACGUGCCAGCAGCCGCGGUAAUACGUAGGGUGCAAGCGUUAAUCGGAAUUACUGGGCGUAAAGCGUGCGCAGGCGGUUCGGAAAGAAAGAUGUGAAAUCCCAGAGCUUAACUUUGGAACUGCAUUUUUAACUACCGGGCUAGAGUGUGUCAGAGGGAGGUGGAAUUCCGCGUGUAGCAGUGAAAUGCGUAGAUAUGCGGAGGAACACCGAUGGCGAAGGCAGCCUCCUGGGAUAACACUGACGCUCAUGCACGAAAAGCGUGGGGAGCAAAACAGGAUUAGAUACCCUGGUAGUCCACGCCCUAAACGAUGUCAACUAGCUGUUGGGGGCCUUUCGGGCCUUGGUAGCGCAGCUAACGCGUGAAGUUGACCGCCUGGGGAGUACGGUCGCAAGAUUAAAACUA